Molecule: ribosomal RNA, 388 nt
Filed under: Gephyrocapsa cf. oceanica
Lineage: Eukaryota; Haptophyta; Isochrysidales; Noelaerhabdaceae
Description: partial small subunit ribosomal RNA
Rfam family: Eukaryotic small subunit ribosomal RNA
Source: RNAcentral
AUUCCAGCUCCAAUAGCGUAUAUUAAAGUUGUUGCAGUUAAAACGCUCGUAGUCGGAUUUCGGGGCGGGCCGACCGGUCUGCCGAUGGGUAUGCACUGGCCGGCGCGUCCUUCCACCCGGAGACCGCGCCUCCUCUUAACUGAGCGGGCGCGGGAGACGGGUCUUUUACUUUGAAAAAAUCAGAGUGUUUCAAGCAGGCAGUCGCUCUUGCAUGGAUUAGCAUGGGAUAAUGAAAUAGGACUCUGGUGCUAUUUUGUUGGUUUCGAACACCAGAGUAAUGAUUAACAGGGAUAGUUGGGGGCAUUAGUAUUUAUUAGCUAGAGGUGGAAUUCUCUAAUUUGAUAAAGACUAACUUAUGCGAAAGCAUUUGCCAAGGAUGUUUUCAUCG